UUAAGUUAAUAAGGGCGCACGGUGGAUGCCUUGGCACUAGGAGCCGACGAAGGACGUGACAAACGACGAUAUGCCUUGGGUAGCUGUAAGUAAGCGAUGAUCCAGGGAUUUCCGAAUGGGGGAACCCAACAGGUAAUACCUGUUACCUACAUCUGUUAAGGAUGUGAGGAGGAAGACGCAGUGAACUGAAACAUCUAAGUAGCUGCAGGAAGAGAAAGCAAAAGCGAUUGCCUUAGUAGCGGCGAGCGAAACGGCAGAAGGGCAAACCGAAGAGUUUACUCUUCGGGGUUGUAGGACUGCAAUGUGGACUCAAAGAUUAUAGAAGAAUGAUUUGGGAAGAUCAGCCAAAGAGAGUAAUAGCCUCGUAUUUAAAAUAGUCUUUGUACUUAGCAGUAUCCUGAGUACGGCGGGACACGUGAAAUCCCGUCGGAAUCUGGGAGGACCAUCUCCCAACCCUAAAUACUCCCUAGUGACCGAUAGUGAACCAGUACCGUGAGGGAAAGGUGAAAAGCACCCCGGGAGGGGAGUGAAAUAGAACCUGAAACCGUGUGCCUACAACAAGUUCGAGCCCGUUAAUGGGUGAGAGCGUGCCUUUUGUAGAAUGAACCGGCGAGUUACGUUAUGAUGCGAGGUUAAGUUGAAGAGACGGAGCCGUAGGGAAACCGAGUCUGAAUAGGGCGCCUUAGUAUCAUGACGUAGACCCGAAACCAUGUGACCUACCCAUGAGCAGGUUGAAGGUGCGGUAAGACGCACUGGAGGACCGAACCAGGGCACGUUGAAAAGUGCUUGGAUGACUUGUGGGUAGCGGAGAAAUUCCAAACGAACUUGGAGAUAGCUGGUUCUCUCCGAAAUAGCUUUAGGGCUAGCGUCGACAUUAGAGAUUCUUGGAGGUAGAGCACUGUUUGGGUGAGGGGUCCAUCCCGGAUUACCAAUCUCAGAUAAACUCCGAAUGCCAAUGAAUUAUGGUCGGCAGUCAGACUGCGAGUGCUAAGAUCCGUAGUCGAAAGGGAAACAGCCCAGACCACCAGCUAAGGUCCCAAAAUAAUUGUUAAGUGGAAAAGGAUGUGGGGUUGCACAGACAACUAGGAUGUUAGCUUAGAAGCAGCUAUUCAUUCAAAGAGUGCGUAAUAGCUCACUAGUCGAGUGACCCUGCGCCGAAAAUGUACCGGGGCUAAAACAAUUUACCGAAGCUGUGGAUACCUUUAUAGGUAUGGUAGGAGAGCGUUCUAUGUGUGAUGAAGGUAUACCGUGAGGAGUGCUGGAACGCAUAGAAGUGAGAAUGCCGGUAUGAGUAGCGAAAGACAGGUGAGAAUCCUGUCCACCGUAAGACUAAGGUUUCCAGGGGAAGGCUCGUCCGCCCUGGGUUAGUCGGGACCUAAGGAGAGACCGAAAGGUGUAUCCGAUGGACAACAGGUUGAUAUUCCUGUACUAGAGUAUGUAGUGAUGGAGGGACGCAGUAGGCUAACUAAAGCAGACGAUUGGAAGAGUCUGUCUAAGCAGUGAGGUGUGAAUUGAGUCAAAUGCUUAAUUCUAUAACAUUGAGCUGUGAUGGGGAGCGAAGUUUAGUAGCGAAGUUAGUGACGUCACACUGCCAAGAAAAGCUUCUAGCGUUUAAACAUACUCUACCCGUACCGCAAACCGACACAGGUAGUCGAGGCGAGUAGCCUCAGGUGAGCGAGAGAACUCUCGUUAAGGAACUCGGCAAAAUGACCCCGUAACUUCGGGAGAAGGGGUGCUGACUUUAAGUCAGCCGCAGUGAAUAGGCCCAAGCAACUGUUUAUCAAAAACACAGCUCUCUGCUAAAUCGUAAGAUGAUGUAUAGGGGGUGACGCCUGCCCGGUGCUGGAAGGUUAAGAGGAGUGCUUAGCGUAAGCGAAGGUAUGAAUUGAAGCCCCAGUAAACGGCGGCCGUAACUAUAACGGUCCUAAGGUAGCGAAAUUCCUUGUCGGGUAAGUUCCGACCCGCACGAAAGGCGUAAUGAUUUGGGCACUGUCUCAACGAGAGACUCGGUGAAAUUUUAGUACCUGUGAAGAUGCAGGUUACCCGCGACAGGACGGAAAGACCCCAUGGAGCUUUACUGCAGUUUGAUAUUGAGUGUCUGUACCACAUGUACAGGAUAGGUAGGAGUCUAAGAGAUCGGGACGCCAGUUUCGAAGGAGACGCUGUUGGGAUACUACCCUUGUGUUAUGGCCACUCUAACCCAGAUAGGUGAUCCCUAUCGGAGACAGUGUCUGACGGGCAGUUUGACUGGGGCGGUCGCCUCCUAAAAGGUAACGGAGGCGCCCAAAGGUUCCCUCAGAAUGGUUGGAAAUCAUUCGCAGAGUGUAAAGGUAUAAGGGAGCUUGACUGCGAGAGCUACAACUCGAGCAGGGACGAAAGUCGGGCUUAGUGAUCCGGUGGUUCCGUAUGGAAGGGCCAUCGCUCAACGGAUAAAAGCUACCCUGGGGAUAACAGGCUUAUCUCCCCCAAGAGUUCACAUCGACGGGGAGGUUUGGCACCUCGAUGUCGGCUCGUCGCAUCCUGGGGCUGUAGUCGGUCCCAAGGGUUGGGCUGUUCGCCCAUUAAAGCGGCACGCGAGCUGGGUUCAGAACGUCGUGAGACAGUUCGGUCCCUAUCCGUCGCGGGCGUAGGAAAUUUGAGAGGAUCUGCUCCUAGUACGAGAGGACCAGAGUGGACUUACCGCUGGUGUACCAGUUGUCUUGCCAAAGGCAUCGCUGGGUAGCUAUGUAGGGAAGGGAUAAACGCUGAAAGCAUCUAAGUGUGAAACCCACCUCAAGAUGAGAUUUCCCAUGAUUAUAUAUCAGUAAGAGCCCUGAGAGAUGAUCAGGUAGAUAGGUUAGAAGUGGAAGUGUGGCGACACAUGUAGCGGACUAAUACUAAUAGCUCGAGGACUUAUCCGA
Molecule: ribosomal RNA, 2900 nt
Filed under: Streptococcus pneumoniae
Lineage: Bacteria; Bacillati; Bacillota; Bacilli; Lactobacillales; Streptococcaceae
Description: bacterial LSU rRNA
Rfam family: Bacterial large subunit ribosomal RNA
Source: RNAcentral